UGGGGAAUAUUGCACAAUGGGCGCAAGCCUGAUGCAGCCAUGCCGCGUGUGUGAAGAAGGCCUUCGGGUUGUAAAGCACUUUCAGCGAGGAGGAAGGUGUGAGCUUAAUACGCUCAUCAAUUGACGUUACUCGCAGAAGAAGCACCGGCUAACUCCGUGCCAGCAGCCGCGGUAAUACGGAGGGUGCAAGCGUUAAUCGGAAUUACUGGGCGUAAAGCGCACGCAGGCGGUUUGUUAAGUCAGAUGUGAAAUCCCCGGGCUCAACCUGGGAACUGCAUUUGAAACUGGCAAGCUAGAGUCUCGUAGAGGGGGGUAGAAUUCCAGGUGUAGCGGUGAAAUGCGUAGAGAUCUGGAGGAAUACCGGUGGCGAAGGCGGCCCCCUGGACGAAGACUGACGCUCAGGUGCGAAAGCGUGGGGCAGCAAACAGGAUUAGAUACCCUGGUAGUCCACGCUGUAAACGAUGUCGAUUUUGGAGGUUGUGCCCCUUGAGGCGUGGCUUCCGGAGCUAACGCGUUAAAUCGACCG
Molecule: ribosomal RNA, 526 nt
Filed under: uncultured bacterium
Lineage: Bacteria
Description: partial 16S ribosomal RNA
Rfam family: Bacterial small subunit ribosomal RNA
Source: RNAcentral